UCUUAUCAAGUAUAUUGUGAACAGAAGACUAAACAAAAUCAAACAUACACGCGCUAUCCUUUAAAUCAGAAUAAAAUCUUUUAUGCAUGUAAUUAAAAGGAUCAAAUGUUUGUUUGUUUACAUGACUCGCAUGACGUUAGGCAUCGAUUGUUUACUUCUUGUCAAUGUGCCUUUGAGUGGAUUAUAUCUUUACCGCAACGUUGCCUUUGAAAGUAAACACAACAAACAAAUGCUUAAUUUUAAGA
Schizosaccharomyces pombe (fission yeast) is the source of this 245-nucleotide non-coding RNA. The record is from the annotation of a GenBank genome assembly. Lineage: Eukaryota; Fungi; Ascomycota; Schizosaccharomycetes; Schizosaccharomycetales; Schizosaccharomycetaceae.